Molecule: non-coding RNA, 72 nt
Organism: Halocaridina rubra (Hawaiian volcano shrimp)
Lineage: Eukaryota; Metazoa; Arthropoda; Malacostraca; Decapoda; Atyidae
Source: the annotation of a GenBank genome assembly
ACCUUCUGUGGUGUAGUGGUAGCGCCUUGAAUUGGUAAUCGUAAGUCCUAGGUUGAAGUCCUGGUCAGGGUA